ACAGAAAACAGUAUAUGGUUAGGAAUCAGGUCGGAGUCUAAUUACAGUAUUCCCCAAGGCCCCAAUCCUUUUCUUUUGCAAUCUAUAAUAUUCUACGUACUAUUAAGGAUUUUACAAUGCAAAAAUCCAACAUAUGUUCUUUUAGGCUAAUUACUAAAUAAAUCUAACGAUAGUCCAUGUGGCGGCGGAGGUGUAGCAAUGGUAGUUUGAAGCAGAUUAGGCGGCCGCAAGCGUCUUUGGCGCCAAGGCUGUUGAGUGAUGGAACUGGCCGUGUGGCGAUUCGUUUUCUAUUCUCCACCCUUUAAGGGAGUGAAAGGAAAGCAUCCAGUUGGGGUGGUCUGCAGUUCUGAUCACCUCGAGCAGCACCACAUAAUCAAAGUUCCAAACAAUAGUGCUGCACUUCUGCCCAGUGGCGAAGCUAUGUAUCCCCGAGGCUGGCUUCGCCGCUGCUUCUGCCUCCAGCAAGCAUUUCGAUCACUUUGAUGUUUAUAGGUGGCUUAACAUGAUCAUUUGAUGUGUAUCUUAUGUAGAAUAUUUGAAUGAUCUACACGCACCAACUCGAUGUACGGCGACUCCAUGGAGCAAGUCGAGUUCGUGGAGCAAGUCAUGGACGAUGCCAUGGAAGGUAUACUCUCUCCCUCUCCCUACCAUGGUACUGCUCAAUGUGUCCACGACCAUUGAGCCGUGCUAGGUUCUAUGCUGCUGUCCAUGCCAAUUUAUAGCAUUUGGGGCUGUAGGUCAGUGAAUUUAUUUAGUAAUAAAUAAUUCUGUUGGUUCACACAAAACAGUUUGACUGUAGGUGUACAGAAUUAGCAAUGGAUCUCUAGGCUGGUGAUAACUAUGUAAAUUCGUUUCAGUGGAUUUGAGGCUGUAGUUUUGUUCCAAAGCGUGGUGAGCACCUUUAGGUUUGUUUGUUUCCUGUUGGAUGACUGAAACCAACUAGAGCUAAAUGUUUUGGUUUCAGAUCACUAAAACCUUUUUAGUUCAGUUUGCUAACUAAAUGGAGAAGAGAAAAGAAGUGGUACUGUCACUCACAAUUGCCCUUGAAUGCACAUCAGCACUUAGGCUACUCUCCAUAUAAUUUUAUUAAGCCAUGUUUUUCUGCAGGCUGUGUCAUAUAUUGUGGCGUCGUGAUUAGUCAUCAAUGACAACUAACACUCAUGCCGGUAUCUUUUCACAAUCAUAAUAGGGACGUAGCUCUUGCUAUAGUUGUAAGUUGUGAUCCUAAAUUUAAACUUGAUGAUGCUAAAAUUACAAAUGAAUUCUUGGUAGUGCAUGUCGAUAUGGCACUUGUGAAAACUGAAGAUUCGGUACGGAGUCGCAAAAGCUGCAAUACUCUCGAUAAUGCAGAAAAAAGAAGAUUGCAUAGCCUUCAACCUUUGUACAUUCAAAAGAUAUAUGGAUGAUUAUAAUGGUGCGUGGCAAGUAUAUUGCAAUGAUGAUGAUGUUCCGUUUCAUGAUGAUAAUGAUGUUCCGGUCCAUGAUGAUGAUGAUGGAUGCUAUCAGUUUUAGUUAAGUUGUAGGGAUGAUGUUUCUGUCGGAUGGUGUUCCCCGGUUAAGUUUAGUUAAGUUGUAGGGAUGUUGAAGGAUGCUUUUUAUGUAAGUUUCGCUGUCAAGAAAAUAUUUAGGUUAUGCAUCACAUUUCGAUGAUGUUUCCCUUGUAAUAUCAACCAUUGUAAUCCAACAGCUUUAUCCAAUAUAUGAUUUCUUUCUCUAA
This is an RNA transcript of Triticum aestivum (bread wheat), 1717 nucleotides long. RefSeq lists it as uncharacterized. The transcript has 5 exons. The record is from RefSeq and is a predicted model, not a curated record. NCBI's taxonomy places the organism in Eukaryota, Viridiplantae, Streptophyta, Magnoliopsida, Poales, Poaceae.